RNAcentral lists this transfer RNA (71 nucleotides) under Takydromus tachydromoides. Its description in RNAcentral is "tRNA-Leu". It matches the Rfam family "tRNA". From Rfam's summary of the family: Transfer RNA (tRNA) molecules are approximately 80 nucleotides in length. Lineage: Eukaryota; Metazoa; Chordata; Lepidosauria; Squamata; Lacertidae. The record is from RNAcentral.
ACUUCUAUAGGAAAACAGCCAUCCAUUGGUUUUAGGUACCAAAAAUCUUGGUGCAACUCCAAGUAAAAGUA